Malania oleifera is the source of this 694-nucleotide long non-coding RNA. RefSeq lists it as uncharacterized. Lineage: Eukaryota; Viridiplantae; Streptophyta; Magnoliopsida; Santalales; Ximeniaceae. The record is from RefSeq and is a predicted model, not a curated record. The transcript is spliced from 2 exons.
GGGAAACUUAGAUGCCUAAGCUAAACCAUAAAGAGAAAGCCUAACAGACUCUUUGCUUCAAGAGUAGGUAAGAAGUGAGCUGGCCAGUCCUAAGAAAUGUGCAGACAGCCAGCCUAUCAACACAUGUUACCCUUCUGCAACCAGCUUUAAAUCAUCUUCAUAUAAAACACCACCAUUUUCCAUUGCUUCAAGUUUCUGCAUUCAGAAAACGAAUCAGAGACUGUUGAAUCCAAGUCCUACUCCACACAAGCCCGUCCACUGCACCGAGCUACAGAAAAAAGAGGCUAUGGCUAGCGAGGCACCAAGCUGGGCUGAUCAAUGGGGUGCAGGGGGCAUUGGUGUCAUAGAGGAAGAAGACAACAAAGCCAAAAAGGAUGGCAAGAGUGACGACAAGAAAGAUUCAAAGGGUGCUGGAUUUGGCAAAGCCAAAGCGGCUGCAGUUGCUGGUGCACAGAAAAUAAAGAAUGGGACUUCCACUGGCAUCAAAUGGUUAAAGAGCCACUGCCAGAAAAACCCCUCUUCCAAAUGAGCUCUCAUUCUUCCCAAUGCAUGAAGCAGACGGGAUGCCCUGCACUUCUUGCCCCUGUUGAAUUUAAAUGAGACCCCUUAUUCACCUGUGCUUCUGGAUGAAUUGUGUAAUUUGCAUCUGUUAAAUUUAACAAUACUCCCAUACGCAUACAGCCAUUUACGAGUC